AUACGUAGGGUGCAAGCGUUAAUCGGAAUUACUGGGCGUAAAGCGUGCGCAGGCGGUUUUGUAAGAAAGUGGUUGAAACCCCGGGCUCAACCUGGGGACUGCCAUUGUGACUGCAAGGCUGGAGUGCGGCCGAGGGGGAUGGAAUUCCGCGUGUAGCAGGGAAAUGCGUAGAUAUGCGGAGGAACACCGAUGGCGAAGGCAAUCCCCUGGGCCUGCACUGACGCUCAUGCACGAAAGCGUGGGGAGCAAACAGGAUUAGAUACCCUGGUAGUCCACGCCCUAAACGAUGUCAACUGGUUGUUGGGGAUUUAUUUUCUCAGUAACGAAGCUAACGCGUGAAGUUGACCGCCUGGGGAGUACGGCCGCAAGGUUGAAACUCAAAUGAAUGGACGGGG
RNAcentral lists this ribosomal RNA (395 nucleotides) under uncultured bacterium. RNAcentral's name for it is "partial 16S ribosomal RNA". It matches the Rfam family "Bacterial small subunit ribosomal RNA", at positions 523 to 918 of the family's 1533-position model. The record is from RNAcentral.